This 72-nucleotide transfer RNA is filed under the name Taenia asiatica. It matches the Rfam family "tRNA". Rfam says of the family: Transfer RNA (tRNA) molecules are approximately 80 nucleotides in length. Their secondary structure includes four short double-helical elements and three loops (D, anti-codon, and T loops). Further hydrogen bonds mediate the characteristic L-shaped molecular structure. tRNAs have two regions of fundamental functional importance: the anti-codon, which is responsible for specific mRNA codon recognition, and the 3' end, to which the tRNAs corresponding amino acid is attached (by aminoacyl-tRNA synthetases). tRNAs cope with the degeneracy of the genetic code in two manners: having more than one tRNA (with a specific anti-codon) for a particular amino acid; and 'wobble' base-pairing, i.e. permitting non-standard base-pairing at the 3rd anti-codon position. Lineage: Eukaryota; Metazoa; Platyhelminthes; Cestoda; Cyclophyllidea; Taeniidae. The record is from Rfam by way of RNAcentral.
GACUCCGUGGCGCAACUAUAGUGCGUCUGACUCCAGAUCAGAAAGCUGUGUGUUCAAAUCACGUCAGGGUCA